UACUACACAGUUGCUGUGUCUCAGCUGCU
Molecule: non-coding RNA, 29 nt
Filed under: Mus musculus (house mouse)
Lineage: Eukaryota; Metazoa; Chordata; Mammalia; Rodentia; Muridae
Source: RNAcentral